Etheostoma spectabile (orangethroat darter) is the source of this 165-nucleotide long non-coding RNA. RefSeq lists it as uncharacterized. The transcript is spliced from 2 exons. NCBI's taxonomy places the organism in Eukaryota, Metazoa, Chordata, Actinopteri, Perciformes, Percidae. The record is from RefSeq and is a predicted model, not a curated record.
AAGCUUUGCCAGCAUAGCAGGGACCAGUGAGGAGGGAGUCCCAUUUACAAGGACCGCCUUGAUGUGAGAAUGGCUGUGAUUGGUGUGUGACUGACAGAAAUGAUGAGUCAAUCAGAGGGGGCUUGACUUGCAUGUGUCCUGCAUGAACUAACAAUUUGAAUAAUU